GUGCUUGCUUCAGCAGCACAUAUACCAAGAUUAGCAUGGCCCCUGCACAAGGAUGACACGCAAAUUCGUGAAGGGUUCCAUAUUAAA
Small nuclear RNA from Panthera leo (lion), 87 nucleotides. NCBI's taxonomy places the organism in Eukaryota, Metazoa, Chordata, Mammalia, Carnivora, Felidae. The record is from Ensembl.